CUGCUGAAAUGAUGAGUUUUCAUGUCUCUUCUCUGAAUUUUUAACUGGAGAACGAUUUUAGCUCUGACUACAGCAG
Small nucleolar RNA from Polypterus senegalus (gray bichir), 76 nucleotides. RefSeq annotates it as small nucleolar RNA SNORD111. The record is from RefSeq and is a predicted model, not a curated record. NCBI's taxonomy places the organism in Eukaryota, Metazoa, Chordata, Cladistia, Polypteriformes, Polypteridae. The transcript has a single exon.